UGGUAGCACAAGUCGGCCCACGACUGAAGUCACAGCAACUCCUGGUACACCAGAGGACGAUGAUACAUGCUGUCAAGAACCAUGUACAGCACAGUCCAAGAAAGAGUUGCCCAGCUCAGCACAGGAGCAAAAGGCAAGCUUUUAGUCCUGGUUUAGUCUUAGUCUUGGUUUAGACCUGGUUUAGUGGUGGUUUAGACUUGGUUUAGACCUGGUUUAGUCCUGGUUUAGACCUGGUGGUUUAGUGGUGGUUUAAAAAGAACACUAUUGUGUAUAUCUUUCCUGAUAAUAAGUGGGUGAUGUAUUAGUAACAAAAUGAUGCCACAUACUUUGAUAGAAAUGAAAAUGAUCACCCUAUAGAGGGGGGAAAUCAAAGACACCCCAAAAAAGAAAGUGAAAAAAUGAUGCAGCACACUGGUCCAUUUUGCUAAAAUGUCAUUGUGGCAACCCAAAAUGAUUCUCAGUAGUUUGUGUGGCCCCCACGUGCUUGUGCGUAUGCCUGACAACGUUGGGGCAUGCUCCUAAUGAGACUACGGAUGGUGUCCUGGGGGAUCUCCUCCCAGAUGUGGAGCAGGGCAUCACUGCGGUACCUGGACGCAUGGAGGAGAUUCCAGGAGACAGGUAGUUACUCCAGGAGAGCUGGACAGGGCUGUAAAAGAUCCUUCAACCCUCAGUAGGAUUGGUAUCUGCUCCUUUGUGCAAGGAGGAACAGGAUGAGCACUGCCAGAGCCCUACAAAAUGACCUCCAGCAGGCCACUGGUGUGAAUGUUUCUGACCAAACAACCAGAAACAGGCUCCAUGAGGGUGGCCUGAGGGCCCGACGUCCUGUAGUGGGCCCUGUGCUCACUACCCAGCACCGUAGAGCUCGAUUGGCAACUACACCACUGGUGCAAGUGUGCUCUUCACUUAUGAAGAGCACAGGGCGUACAAGCACGCAGUACAAGCACAGUUAUAUUAUGUUGAACACGUCAGUAUCACCAUUACUUGUUAAUUUUUCAUUUCAAUGUGCUUUUAGUGUGCUCAAAAUCAUGGCACAAAUCCUGCUUUCUCAAGAGGAAUUCAUCACUGGAUGUUGAACCUGAUGACCAUGACUCUCUAAAUAGUAGUGACGGCUGUGGAUCAGAUGAAGACUAUGUGCCUAGCCCGUCAGUCAGUAGUGAUGCAUCCGGCCCUGAAGAUCUCUCAUGUACCAGCACUGGUGUACCAGCAUCAAGAACAGAUAGUGAUGAUCUGUCUGUCUGUAAAACUCAUCCAAGCCCACUCCAUCGUAUGGCUCGUGCAGCUAACUUGGUUUCUUCUAAGCAAAUUAGGAAGAGAGUGCCACAGCCCAUAGACCGCAUGAGUGAGGAGGACAGAGAUGCCACAACCUCUGUUGAAUUUGGCAUUGAAGAAGACAUCGUUCCUGAUCGUGAAUCUUCUGAUGAUGAUCCAACCACAAGCAAUACCCAGAGCCUUCCAACAACUUCAACAGAUUCACAAGCUCCUAAAGGGUCUUCUUGCACAAAAAAAAAUUACUGUUACGUUUGUAAGACACCUCAAUCGAAAAUUGCUCGUCACCUUAAAAAGCAUGAAAAAGAAGAACCCGAUAUUGCUGAAGCAUUUUUGCACCCAAACAACUCCAAAGAGAGAAAAAAGUUACUUGAAAAGUUGCGGAACAAAGGCAAUUAUGAACAUACGUAAUCAAGAAGUUCUCACAAAUAACGAUGGCUUACUGAAAGUAAAAAGAAAAUCAAAACAAUCAAAAGACUGUAAAUACCAAAACGUUUGUGCAGUGUGCAUAUUGUAGAGGCAUGUUUAUCCGUAAAGAGCUGUGGCGCCAUUCACGGAGGUGCCCUUUUAAAACAGCCUCAGAAUCUGAAGCCACUGGUAAAGCAAAAUGCUUGGCUCUAGCUGAUAUUGCAGAGUCAACAUGUGCCCAAGCAAUUUCCCCUUGAGUAUGGAAGGUUCUUAAAAAUAUGAGGCAAGAUGAGGUAGCAUCUGUAGUUCGAAAUGAUUUCCUCAUACUACAACUGAGUCAGUUUCUCUACAACAAGCAUGGAACUGAUCUAACAAAGUUUGAGUAUAUGAGACAAAAGGCUCGAGAAAUGGGCAGACUGUUGUUGACCUUGAGAAAAACAAACUCUAUUUUUAGGUUUGAAGAUGCUACAGUACAAGACCAAAAAACUUCUAUAAAGUCAUUGAAGCUGUAAGAACAGUUGCUGGUUAUGAUGAAGAAAAGACCUGUUAUCGCACACCAAGUCUUGCAAUGAAAUUGGGACACUCGCUCAAGAAGAUCAGUGGCAUUAUUCUCUGUAGGGCCAUUGCAGCAGAGGAUGAACAGAUGAUAAAAGCAGCAGAGCGAUUCAUACAUCUCUGCACAAAAGAAUGGACAGGACUUGUUUCCCACAUGGCACUUGGUACUUUGACCAAAUCAAAGUUUAAGAAACCAUCUACCUUACCAUUCACAGAAAAUGUUCAGCUUUUUGCACCAGUACCUGGAGAAGAAAUCAGCUGAGGCUGUUGAAAACCCGAAAGAGCGGGAGUCUUGCUCAAAUAAUUAUCUUCAACAGACGUCGCGCAGGAGAAGUCUCAAAAAUGACACUCGAGUCUUUUGAAAGAAGAGAUCAGACUGAGCUCCAUGAGGACAUAGCUGCUGGCCUCUCGCAAGUUGAGCAAAAGCUAGCCAAGCACUUCAGCAGGGUAGAAAUUAUAGCCAAAAGAGGGUGAAAGGUUGCCGUUUUAUUGAGUCCUGAGGUCCUCAGAGCAGCAGCACUUAUUGCAGACAAGAGAGACACAUGUAAUGUGCACAAGGAUAAUCCCUUCCUGUUUGGACGGACACAGUGCCCCUCCACUAGUUACUUUAGAGGACAGGACUGCAUCAGGAAGUUUGCAUGCAUGUGUGGUGCAAAGAAUCCUGAAUAUCUCAGGUCUACACAUCUUCGCAAGCAUGUAGCAACAUUGUCCCAAAUACUCAACCUCAAGGAUAAUGAGCUGGACCAACUUGCCAACUUUUUGGGACAUGAUAUUCGGGUCCGUAGAGACCAUUAUCGGCUGCCAGAGGCAACUAUAGAAAUUGCAAAAAUCUCAAAACUUCUACUGGCAAUGGAGAAAGGAUCACUUGCAAAGUUCCAGGGAAAGUCUCUUGAUGAGAUUGAGGUUGAAGAUGAAUUGGACCCAGAGCUAGAUGAGGGUGAGCUGGAUGAUGAAAGUGAUGAAGAUGACGACAACAAUGAUGGAAAUGAUGGUGGCGGUGGACAUGACAAGGACAGUGGACAUGAUGGCGGUGGUGGAGAUGAAGACUGUGACCAUGACGGUGGAGUCGAUGACAGUGGUGGAGAUGACAAUGGGUCUGAUCAUGUCCUUGGACCAAGGGGAAAAAGAAAAAGGAUGAAAUCGACCGAGGAUAAGACCAAGGCUUCCAAAGGGCAAAAAAAUCUGUUGGCAAUCCAAGCUGAGGUGACCAAUUGAGAAGAGGUGUUCAACGAGAAUUAUGAGCAAUUGCUCAGUUGGUGGAAAAUGUCAUGGAAAGUUUUGAUAAAAAAAAGUCUAUAUCUGCGUUGAUGAAUGCAAAUAUGAUGAAGCUAUGUGGCGCACUCUUUAAGAGGUAAAUAAAUGCCUUAUUUUAUCUUAUUUAAAUUCCCCCCCUUUACUUUUGAAUGACUGGGGGCGGGUCAUUCUUCCGCAUUUGCAUGGUAUUAUCAACUGCAAUGACAAAAUGCAAGUGGAAAAGACAAGUACAAAACAGGAACAACAACGGCAAAUUGGAAAAAACAAAGACAAUACAGAAAAAACAAAGACAAAAUAGUAAAAAAAUAUGACUAUUUGCAUUUUUUUUUUAUUAUUGUUUUUCUUUGUAUUUCCACAUUUGUAUACUUUUGUGUUAUUGAUUCUCUUUGUAUUUCCGCACGUAUUCCCUUUUAAUUUUGGCACUCCUGUGAUUCCAUAGUAUCAAGCCCAAAUGUAUAAAUCAUUUCAGUCCACAUACAUUCUGUUUUACUCCUGCCUGAGGGAAUCAAACAGGUUACGAAUUGCAUUGUUUAGUUAAGAAAAUUUGAUUUUUGAUGAAACAGUAACAAUGAAUAUAUACAUUCCUAUGUAUUAACAUCCUGCGCAUUUUGUUUUUAUUUUUUAUUCAUUUGACUUAUGUUUUUUUAUUUGAAUUGCCCGGCACAUCUCAAGCUCGCUUUUUUCCCCCUCCACCCAAACUAUGGAAAUUAAAUCCAAGCUUAUACCUGAUGAUGCCAUGAAUGACUUAAAAAACAACAGUUCUUUCCCUUAAAUAGCCUUCAAGCCUACACAGGCUCACUGGAGAGCAGAAAAGGAAAAAUACAUUAUGUAAACUACAGCUCCAGGGGAGCUGACAGACUGAGCCAUUAAGUUGGCUACUAAUUGCAUCACACCAGCAGCAACAAACGUGCCACAUGGCUUCAUGAACUUGAUUAAAGACUACAUAUGCACAUCCACAGCAAAUAUUACAAUAUUUAUCUAAUAACUGCCCCUGAAAGAGUGGGGAUAUCAAUAUUAAACUGAGGCUCCAUGAGUGGAUGCUUCGGCAGAGGAAUACAGAAGAGACGGUUGGAUGGUAUGUUAUGGUCUAUGGUCCCAUGGGCUGCACUUCCAUCUUCUCGCCUAGACAAUAUUUCCAAAGAGAGGCGUUAGAAAAUUAUAUCUCGUCCUCCCUCCCAUCCGGUGUCAUCCGCCCCUCUUCUUCUCCGUUAGCUAAAUCUCUGAAGCCAUGCAUUGAUUACCGCGCACUAAAUGACAUCACCAUAAAGAAUAUUCACUUCACUUCUUGAUUCAGCCUUCAAUUCUCUCCACACUGCUAGAUAAUUUCACUAAAUAAGACCUCUGUAACACAUAUCAUCUACUUAGAAUACGGGAGGGGGUACAAGUACUUUGAGUACUUGUGAUGCUAUGUGGACUUACCAAUGUCCCCGCUGUCUUUCAAAGUUCCAUCAAUGAUGUCCUCCGGGAUAUGCUCAGCUGCUUUGUUUUUGUUUAUCUGGAUGAUAUUCUUAUUUUUCCCCCCACAUUUGAGUUACACAUUCAACAAGUCCGUUUUGUCCUCCAGCGCCUUCUCAAACAGGCAGAAAAAUGUGCUUUCCACGCUGCUUCUGUCCCUUUCCUGGGGUUCAUUGUGGAGGAGGGUCAACUUAAAGCGGAUCCAGCUAUAGUCCAGGUUGUGGUCGAUUGGCCUACUCCUACAUCAAGAAAGCUCCUUCAAAGGUUCCUGGGCUUUGCCAAUUUCUAUCGCCACUUCAUUCACAACUUCAGUCGGGUUGCAGAGCCAUUGACAAAUCUUACAUCCACUAAGGUACCGUUUACCUGGACUCCAGAAGCCAACACCUCGUUUGUAAGACUCGAGGUUGAUGCAUCUGACUCCGACGUGGGGGUCGUCCUUUCCCAGCGUUCCUCCUCUGACCAGAAACAGUACCCCUGCGCCUUAUGCAAUUACGACAUUGGUAAUAGAGAGCUGCUUGCUGUGGUUAUGGCCCUGCAGGAGUUAAGGCACGGGCUGGAGGGGUCGGAGGUAGGGGUCGGAGGUGCCUUUUGUCGUUUACACCGACCACAAGAACAAGAACGGCCCAAUGUCUCAACCCCCAGACAGGCACAAUGGGCCCUCUUUUCACACGAUUCAACUUCACCCUGACCUUCCGCCUGGGCUCUCAGAAUGGCAAGUCAGAUGCAUUGUCCAGACUUUCUUCUCCCCCCUCAGAGGGGGUGAGGAAGGAGACCAUUAUCUCUUAGUCCGAGAUGUUGGGGGAGUUGCAUUGGGACUUUUGACAGUCAGAUGAUGGAGGCCCUCAAGGACAUCUCUCCCCUGGAACGUUGUUCCGAAGCUGCGUCCUGAGGUCCUAUGCUGGGCCCACAGUACCAAACUCGCCUGCCAUCCAGGUGUCACUCGCACAAUCUUCCUCCUUUCGCAACGCUUCAUGGUAGUUUCUGACUGCAUGCACCGUUUGUUCCCGGACGAAGAGUCAAAACAAGCAAUGCUUAUUUUUUUUUGGCAAAAAAAAUCCCCAAGGCUGCUGGCCGUAGCACCAUUUCUUCAUUAGGAUUUCCAUCAUCCACCCUUUACUGUUUACUUCCACAACAAUUUCUUCCGGAAGUGUUUCUUUUGGCAUUGUCAUCAGCUUAAAAAUAAAAAGUUUUUGUCUGGAUGCUGUGCAGGCCGGAACACGUGAAAUGCGUGCUCUCAUGUCCAGUUCAGCUUGACAGACGAGUCACCUUUGUUGUUAACAGUCCUAGUGAGAGGCAGGUCAAAUGUCAAAGUUACCUUAUCCAUAUUUAUGUCAUCUGGUCCCAUGGAAUUCUCGGCUAUCUUUGAGUGUAUAUCCGGAAUUUUCUAACCGUUUCCUCGUAGUUGGAAGGGAGUUGUUGACACAAAGUCGUGGGUGCCCUGAUGGACAGUCCUUUUUGUCUCAUAAAUCUGAGACACCAAGAUGGGCCACCUAUAAAAUCUUCAAUCUUCUUUUCGGGGGCGAUGAUUUGGCUUUUAGUUGGAUCUGCACAGUGGAAACACCUCGGCUAUCCGCUCUCUGUGUAUUUACCCAGUCUUCAAGCACAUCUUAUAGUUCAGGCCAUCUACUUUUCUUACCUCUGAAAGCUUUUACUGUAUUUUUGCUUUGCGUCAGCUUUUUAUGUUGACGUCUCCAAUGUCUCACCAUACAUUAAUUUAUGCUAAACUAAAGCGAAGCAGCCCUGUUUCCUACUCUGACAGCCAAAUCAAUCGUCUUUAACUUGAAAGCGGCAUCAUAUGCGUUUCGUAGCAUUUUCCAUGAUGGAACAUUGUGUCACUGCGCAUGUGCAGAACGCGUCUACAUCUGGGCACCGAGUCUACAUUCCGAUACAGUAGGUAGCAGUAUGCAACUAAACUUUGUUUGCGAACCCUCCAUAAACAAAACAAAGAAAAAGAACGUGUCUACAUACUGUACAUACAGUACUGUGCAAAAGUUUUACAUAGGUAUGACAACAUGCUAUAAAUUAAGAAUGUUUUUAAAAAUUGAAGUAUUACAUUUAUUUCCAUCAAUUAACAAAAGGGAAAUCUAAAUCAAAUCAGUAUUUGGUGUGACCACCCUUUGCUUUCAAGACGGCAUCAAUUCUUCUCGAUAGUCUGUACAGCUGGUGGGUUGCUCCAAACAUCUUGGAGAACUUACCACAGAUCUUCUGUGGAUGUAGACCUUGUGAAUGUGCAGGUCACAACAACACAAGUGUUUUGGAGUUGUUGGAUUGCGUAUUAGCUGAGUUUUGAUUAGUUUGCUUGCGUCACCAAGUUUCACUUAUGUUUCCGGGUCAUGUGAUUGUUGUUUGCAACUGUUGCUAAGUGGUUGUUUGUUGUUCAGUGGCAAGUAAACAGUUUAGAGUUUAUACCAUUUAUCCUCGGCUCCUGUCUCAUUCUGAAUCACAUCUCCACAUUUGGUGACCCUCGACAUGAGUAAUAUGCCAUGUGUGCCUUCAUCGAGUUCUGCCACCUAGCGCUACGGUGCAUACAAGAAAACCUGUUGUAAAUGGAAUAAGUCUUCUAAACGUGCAUUUUGAAGAAAUCUUUGAGUGAGUACAAUGUUUUUGCUAAAUAAUGCUAUAUUGGUGUAUUUUGGCAUUAACUAUACAUUUUACACAAGUGAUUAAAUGACAUACUAGUUUAUGAUAUUCACGUUAAUAUGCCAAAAAUGUACUCAAAUAGUGUUACGUGCUUAAACAUUAGUUUAAAAGACAGGUAAAAUACACACUGAAUCCACACACUACGGGAUGAAAACGAGGGCACACAUCUCAUCACACUAGUGCCACUUGAUGAUAACGAGGCAGCUAACGUUGGUGCUAUCAAUGGCAGUGACGGUUAAGUUGCCCUACUUUUCUUGACAGGCUCUGAAAAGUCCAAAAUAGUGUGAUAUCUUGCAGAGGGUUGCAGCACUCUUAAAAUUGCCAAGCUUCAUCAAACAAUCAAGCGUUUCAUUCAAAAUAGUCAACAGGAUCGCAAGAAGCGUGUGGAAAAACCAAGGCGCAAAAUAACUGCCCAUGAACUGAGAAAAGUCAAGCGUGCAGCUGCCCAGAUGCCACUUGCCACCAGUUUUGCCAUAUUUCAGAGCUGCAACAUCAUUGGAGUGCCCAAAAGGACAAGGGAUGCAAUACUCAGAGACAUGGCCAAGGUAAGAAAGGCUGAAAAACGACCACCACUGAACAAGACACACAAGCUGAAAUGUCAAGACUGGGCCAAGAAAUAUCUCAAGACUGAUUUUUCUAAGGUUUUAUGGACUGAUGAAAUGAGAGUGAGUCUUGGGGCCAGAUGGAUGGGCCCGUGGCUGGAUCGGUAAAGGGCAGAGAGCUCCAGUCCGACUCAGACGCCAGCAAGGUGGAGGUGGGAUACUGGUAUGGGCUGGUAUCAUCAAAAAUGAGCUUGUGGGGCCUUUUCGGGUUGAGGAUGGAGUCAAGCUCAACUCCCAGUUCUACUGCCAGUUUCUGGAAGACACCUUCUUCAAGCAGUGGUACAGGAAGAAGUCCGCAUCCUUCAAGAAAAACAUAAUUUUCAUGUAGGACAAUGCUCCAUCACACGCAUCCAAGUACUCCACAGCGUGGCUGGCAAAAAGGGUCUAAAACAAGAAAAACUAAUGACAUGGCCUCCUUGUUCACCUGAUCUGAACUCCAUAGAGAACCUGUGGUCCCUCAUCAAAUGUGAGAUUUACAAGGAGGGAAAACAGUACACCUCUCUGAACAGUGUCUGGGAGGCUGUGGUUGCUGCUGCACGCAGUGUUGAUUGUGAACAGAUCAAAACACUGACAAAAUCCAUGGAUGGCAGGCUUUUGAGUGUCCUUGCAAAGAAAGGUGGCUAUGUUGGUCACUGAUUCGUUUUUGUUUUGUUUUUGAUUGUCAGAAAUGUACAUUUGUGAAUGUUGAGCUGUUAUAUUGGUUUCCCUGGUGAAAAUAAAUAAUUGAAAUGGGUAUAUAUUUGUUUUUUGUUAAGUUGCCUAAUAAUUAUGCACAGUAAUAGUCGCCUGCACACACAGAUAUCCUUCUAAAAUAGCUAAAACUAAAAAAGCCCCACUCCAACUUCCAAAAAUAUUCAGCUUUGAUAUUAAUGAGUCUUUUGGGUUCAUUAAGGACAUGGUUGUUGUUCUAUAAUAAAAUUAAUCCUCAAAAAUACAACUUGCCUCAUAAUUCUGCACUCCUUUGUAUGGUAUACCUUGAAACUGGUAACUAGCCCAUGCCUAGAUCAGUGUUCUGUGGGGGCCAUGCCAUCACUUCCAGGAUUUUCUGUUCUUCUUUACGCUGAAGCUAGUUCUUCAUGACCAUGUCUGUAUGUUUGGGGUCAUUGUCCUGCUGCAGAAUCAAUUUACUGCAUGAUGCAUAAGGAUCUGCCUGUAUUUCUCAGCAUUGAGGACACCAUUAAUCCUGACCAAAUUUCCGACUCCAUUUGCAGAAAUGCAGCCCCAAACUUGCAAGGAACCUCCACCAUGCUUCACAGUUGCCUGCAGACAGUCAUUAUUGUACACUUUCUAACGCUUUGGGGGAACAAACUGCGUUCUGCUCCAGCCAAAUAUUCAAAAUUUUGACUCAUCUGUCCAGAGCACCUUCUGCCAUUUUUUUCACCACAAUUUCUAUGUUUUUGUGCAUAGUUGAGUCGCUUGGCCUUACCAUUCUGUAUCUGUACACCCAUCUAAAUUAUCUGUAUCCGUAUCUGUACUUGGAGUGGUCGGGGGAAUAAACCAGAAGUGGGCGUGGUUUAACCAGAAAUGGGUGGGUGCUUAAAUCAAUACAUUAUUUUAAGUCUGAUAUUGACAUGGAUUGAUCAGAAGUUGCUAAGUUUAUUGUUUAUUUGAAAACUAUUUACAGAACAGACUCAAAAUUGAGAUUCAAAUUAUGUUUUUGAUCACAAAGGAAAAGGAACACUUUUAAAUGAUCUGAGUGAAGUUGAUGAUUCAUGCAAACAUCCAGUGAUGGCAAACAGGGAUGGCAAUCCUCACAGGGCUACAAAUGACACCGAGGUCAAAAGAUAGUGUAGUCCAAAACAGAGGAGAACCAAAUAAAAUGGAUGUUCCUUCAACAUACAGUAGCUGCAAAUUUCCAGUUUCAUAGAAGGUGGAUGUAGAUAUCAAUACCAUCGACAAUUGCAUCCCAAUGUAUGGCAGAAACAACACCACACCUGUCAUCUUCGUUAAGUUAGCAGGGUUUCCGCUACAUGAUCGUGGUGGCCCGUCACUACAAAAUAAAAGCCGCCACACCUUAAAAAUGAGGGUUUAUUUCUAAACUUGAAAACAAUUUUAAGUAAUAUACUGUGUUGUAAAUUUAAGUAAUAUAUACUGUAUUUAAUGACAAAGGAGCACACUGAGUGGAGAUGUGCUUUGUAAAUAAAGUGCCAUUUAAAUGUUGGCAGUCACAUACAGUAAAACACAAAUACCUAGUGCUGCAAGUUGGAUACACCUGUGUUAUCAUAAGCCUGGACUCUCAAUUCAUACUGUUUAUAUAGGACAGAUUUCUAACAAAAAUAUUUAAAUUGUUAUUUUGUUAUUCGUGUUAUAUUGAACUAAAUAUAUUAUUGAAUAAUUAAGUUCUCAUGUAUUCGUAUAACUAUAAAACAGGCAAUCAAAUUAAAUUUAGGUUUGUGUCAAAUAGUACAAAAUGUACUUUUUUACUAGUCACAUAACCACAAAAGGAGUUUCGGCAUUCACUUAAAGUGCUCUCAGCAACUUUGCCAUUAAAUUAACAGUUUUGCAAUAUUCUUAGUUAAUGUCCUGCUGGUUGUUAAAAAACGUUGAAUAAAUAAGUAAUAAAAAUUGCUAUUUGUCAUUUAAAAAAAACAAACAAACAUGCAGACGCAGCAGCAGCACAACACAGCAGCGGCAGUCCACCCGCCCAUGCAGCCCACCACCAUAGCUUCAAAAAAUCCUAGGGGAAAUCCUGAGUUAGGGAAUUCAAAACUGCACUGCUGAAACAGGGAAAGAAGCUGAGAGGCACAAACGUCUACAUGAAUGAGCAUGUGACAAAACGUAACGCUGACAUCAAGAAAGCCCAAGACUUGAGAAAGCAGGGAGAUACAAAGUACGAGGAGCACCAACGGCAAAAUCUACAUCAAGCUAAAUGGAGCACCACUAGAAGCAAGAGUGCUUCUUGUCAAAGAUAUGAAGGAUCUGGAUACAUUUUAAAGAUCAUAUUACCAUGACAACAAGGAAAAUGGAGGAUACAACCCACAAAGAAAAAUCUAUGCAGUUAGGAUUACCUUCAAUAACAUUGGACAUUUGAUAUCAUCUUUGCAAGGGCCUGCUCAACAAAAUCACUGGAGUUAGGAACUCAUGUAUCUAUAUUCAGGAAAGACAGCAGGACGUGGAUCCGGAUAUCAACAGGGGAAAAGGAAGAACUUUUGUAUUUGUUGUUGUAUUUGUAUUUAUUUAUGUACAGUCAAUAACGGCCACUAGAGGGAGUCUGCAAAAGUGGCCGCUAUUGACAGGUGGCCUACAGUUAAUCCUACCCCUCAUCAGUUUCACAUCAGUUGCAAUACAUUUAUUCACCUCUUGUUCUUCCAAGUGUAGUUUGUAGGUCUACAUGACAAUGUAGUGCAAUCAUAGCCAAGGUUUUUACUUACUAAAAGGAAGCUAGAGGCUUAAUAAUAACUGAUAACUGAUAAAAUACUUCAUUUAAGUACAACCGAACUCAGUUUUGCGCCCGCUGCCGCAUGCAUGCUAGCAUAUGUUUUUUUUUUUUUUGUAGCGUCGCUGGGAGCACGUCCUGUUCCCAGCCUACUUUGCGGUAAUGUUUUGGUGCAAAUGCUCUUAAAGUUACAUGUUUGACUAGGAAAUAGCGAGCUCAAAAGAAGACGGCUUUUUUAUGUGGAACAACUGACAGUUUGUGUGGAUCUUGUGAAUGAUUGUGACUGAGCUAGGACUCGGUAAUUAAAGUCUACACACGACGGCUUCAUUGAUUGAAAAACAAAACUUUUUCGUGCAUGAAGCUUCUACUUCAGUUGGUAAUUUGGCUGCUAUAUGCAGUCAGAUAUUGACCAAGGGAGACAAAAUGGGCGGCUACUGGCUGCGUUGGACAGGUGACUGCUAUACACAGGGUCUAUAACAUGUAAAUUUGCUGGGGGGGAUUUUUCAGUGGCUGCUAUAGGCAGGUGGCCCUUCUAUAAAGGUGGCCGCUAAGACAAGUUUGACUGUAUUUAUUUAUUUAUUUAUUCUUUUCUUUUUGCUUAAAAAAAGAGUUAAACAAAUAAAUGAAUAAUUAUUAUAUUAAAUUCUUUGAUUGUUUAUUGGAAGAAUGAGUAAACAGUGAAUUAGUGUAUGCUGAAUACAGGAAGUGAACAUAUGUAUUAGAAAUUGAUGUGAUACGUAGAGUGGGUAGGAUAAAAUAAGCUCUGCUUCUUCCUACUCCUUUUCGGACAUGUGGAAUUAUGAAUUGCAAAAUGAAGCACUCAAUGUAAACGGUAUGCAUGUUCAAAAUAAAUUAAACUAUAACCAUUUCCUGAUUGAAUACAGGGCAGAAACCUAAGAUGAGACUGCCGCAAACGUGGAUGAUGGCGCCUGCCAGUUUCUGUUCAUUAGCAAGCCGCCAAUAAUCUAAUGUUGCAGAAACAAUUGUUAUACACCAUGACUUUCUACAGCCUGUGUAAUGUAUUUAAUAUAAGUGUGACAUGAUUGAUUUUGUUGAUAUAAAUAAUAAAAUACAGUAUAUAGCAACUUCUAAAGGGAAGGGGGCGGGCUGGAAGGCGCUUGUCAUUGCCGUCCUUCCAUAAAGAGGCAAAGCCAGCGUCUUUUUUUUUGACAGCAGUACAAGCUGGAGCAGCAACUCGAAUGCGUUGAAGGCAUUUUUAUGCUCUGCUGAAUGAAUGAAUGAAUGAAUGAAUGAAUGAAUGAAUGAAUGGGUUUGACUGCAAAGAUGGAUGAUUAUCAGACUUUUACAACAACGUAUCAGUUUUUCCUGGAUAAUGAUGGCAUAUUUAUCCAAAAGGUAAGAUCAUAAAUGUUUUUCGUUAACUAAAUAAAUAGGACUAAGAAGUAUUUGAAAACAUUUUUUUAACAAAAAGUGAAAUAUUCUCUUUUUCUUGUUAUUUUGUUAUGUAGUGAGCAACCGAAGCAACAUAAAAAAACAAAACCUCAAAGCAGUGUAGUGCCUCCCCAGCCAUGAACCUCACUCCACGUCACUGAUUAGAAUCCACUCAUGUUUGGUGGUUCUCGUGCUGAUAACGUCAAAAAUCUGAAUCAUGAUACUUGAGAUAUAGCCAUGCACAACACUCCACUGGCUUUCAGUCGUUACCAGGGCAACUGCUGAUCUGUAGCGGUCGCCACCUCUACUGUUUUUUUAUGGGUGUUUGACACACAUAUUUCCUUUAUCGACCUCAAGGGAAAGUAAAAAAAAAAAAAAAAACGUUUCCUUAUUUAAACAGAUAAUUGAGUUGACAAUUAAGUAAUUAAGACAAAAUAAUUAUUCUAUUUUCUUGCAAGGAUUACACCACACAAGAAUCAGAACACACAUGCAGGCAUUAGUCAGGAAACAGACUGCAGCAUCCCUGCAGAAACUGUUGCAACUGAAACUGAAUCAACAGCAGCCCAUCAACACUAUUUUACCUCAACUUCUUCAAAACACAAUUAUUCAUCAAUCAGGUCCAUACAAUCGGCAGCAUUCUUAAUGAUAAUUACAAUAUUUUAUUGUUACGCCCAUUCCUUGUUGAAACACAUAAUUGUAAAACAGCUGCUAGAAAAAUGAAUGAUAAAAACUCACUGUAGUUGAAGCCAAGUUGUAAACAAAGUGUUCUCACCCAUAAAGUAGGUGACUGUCUUGCACAUGGCCGCCCCAAAGAUGAAAUCCUCCAGUAUGUUGGGGAUAAGCGUGAAGGGCAUACAGAAGAUGGCCAUCAUCAGGUCACUGAGCGCAAGCGACAGCAGGAAGGAGUUGGUGACUGUUCUCAUGCGCUUGUUGAGAAUCAGGACAGUGAUGAUAAGGAGGUUGCCAAAGACACUGAUGAGGAAGAUGAGCGUGUAGAGCAGAAUGCGCACCGAGUCCGUCUCUAAGGAGAGAACAUGACCACAGCAUCUCAUUUUGAUUGCAUUUAAAAAUAUAUACUGCUCAAAAAAAUUAGAGGAACACUUCAAAAACACAGAUCUAAACGAAUGAUCUUGAACAUCUUUCCUGAUAUUAAGUGGGUGAUGUAUUAGUAACAAAACGAUGCCACAUAAUUUGAUAGAAAUGAAAAUGAUCACCCUAUAGAGGGGGGAAAUCAAAGACACCCCAAAAAUGAAAGUCUCCUAAUGAGACUACGGAUGGUGUCCUGGGGGAUUUUCAUUUCUAUCAAAUUAUGUGGCAUCAUUUUGUUACUAAUACAUCACCUACUUAUUAUCAGGAAAGAUAUUCAAGAUCAUUUUUCCCCCAGUUUAGAUCUGAUGUGUUUUCGAAGUGUUCAUUACAUUUUUUUGAGCAGUAAAUUAUAUGAUAUAUAUAUAUAAUAUGUUAACAUUAUAUAACAAAAUAAGUUAAUGUGCUUCAGUCCAGAGAGGAGAUGAAGAACAAAGAAUAAAAUGCCAAAAGGAAACUGGAAUAUUAACCUCUCCUGAGAAAAAAAAAUAGAAAUAGUCUUUCUUCUUCCGCAUGCAGGUUAACAUGUAUGUCUGACAACCAUCGCAUACUUAACACUAAUAUGGGAACAGUUUUGGGUAGACAAUAACAAUUUAAUAAUUUUGCUGGACGAUAACCAACAAAUUAUUGCUGAUAUAUGAUAUUAUUGUCAACAUUAUUUUGAGGCCAUUUUUUCAUGAACGUAAUGAUAAUAUAUUGUAUAACAAUGCAAGUACACUGUAUCAAAAGAAAUAAACUUUAAUUUCCCAAGAGUAUUUAACAUUGUAAUUGUAAUGUCAAGAGUUUUAAAGUAAAAUUAAAUGCGCGCGGAAACAUGAUGUAAAACAAUAGCUCCCCAAAGUGUAUUGAUUAGAACAAAUAGAUCUGUAGAAAAGCAAAAUGUAAUGCAUAUCAUGGACACUACGCCAUAUUUCUGAUUUUGAAUCAGUCACUUUUGUUUAUGUCUGAAAAUUGACAAAAAAGCUGAGAAAUGACCCGGAAAUACUCUGAAGUUCACAUUGUGUGUUAACGCAGACGUCAGCUCAUUUGCAUAUAUGCUUUCUUGAUUCACUUUUAGCAACUUUGUGUGUGGAAUAUGCUUUUUACGUUUAAGAGGUGUAACAUUUUGUCUGAGUUUGGUCAAAGUACAUGUUUUGGAUGCAGUAAAAUGAAGGGAUGUGCGAUAUUGUUUUUUUUUUUUGCCAAUAACCGAUAUGCUGAUAUUGUUCAACUCUUAAUUUCCGAUAAAUUGAUUGAUGCCACCUACCUCGACUCCUGUCUCGUUGUGAAUCGCAUCUCCACAUUUGGUGACCCUUGAAGUGGGUAAAAAUGUCGAUUGACAAUGAGUUCGCUAACGCUGGUGCUGUCUGCACCAGCACACCCACGUCUGUGAUGUCAACAUAUCCAGCCCAGUGACGACUGCGAGGAAUAACUUAGGACGUGACAAAGUAUUUCCAAGUAAUGCCGCCCCUUGAUGCCUCGAUGACGGCAAGUACUGAAGCCCACAGGCCUACAUGCAGCAGUUAUUAUUAUCGGUUUUCAUUAUGGGGAAAAACCUGAUAUAGAGAUCAACCGAUGUUACAUUUUUAUGCCAAUAUCGAGACGAUAAUAUUGGCCCACCGACAUCCCUAGUAAAAUGCGUUUGGUGUGUUAUACUUCCGGAAUCGCGGCAGCUGAAACAUAAGUUCUAGUGGUGUGUAUUCAUUCAUUUUCUGUGCCGCUUAAUUUUCAUUAGAGUGUUGGAGGUAUGCUGGAGUUUAUCCCAGCUGAUUUUGGGCGAGAGGCAGAGUACACCCUAGACUGGUCGCCAGACAAUUGCAGGGCACAUACUGUAUAGACAAUCAACUAUUCACCUAUGGACAAUUCAGAGUCGCCAAUUUACCGACUGUAACAUGCAUGUUUUUGGAAUGUGGAAGGAAACCGGGGUACCCGGAAAAAAACGAUGCACGGGGAGAACAUAGAGAUGUCAGAGAUGGAGGCUGGAACCGCGAUCUUGUCAUCCAUUCUGUUUGGUAUAGACAGAGGAGGAAAACAAACACCCAUGCUCAUGUUAAUAUAUCGAGGCCAGCAAAAUUUAACUAGUUCAUUUAUAUUUGUCGUGCGUUUAAUUGAUUUAUUGAUUAUCGUGACAAGCCUCGUUUUAGGGAAAGGAGACAGAGAACAUUUUGUUGCUCAAUAGGGAAGUAAGAGUCCAGAGUCAUUAAAUCAACAGAUUAAAGUUUCCUCAUGUCAAUAUUUGCCAUCAAAGAUGAAGCAAAACAGCCUCAACAGGGCUAAGCACACUGCUUUAGGAAGCAUUUGUCAAACCGGAAAAGGGAGAUUAAAAUUAAACAUCCGUCUCUUGAUUGAGAUCAAUAUUUAUACACAGGGUUUUUUUCAAAGACAGUAAAACCAUGUUUCAUGGUUGUAGAAGACCUAUUUCACAGGUUGAUUCCAAAGCACCACCACACCAGCAUCAUCAUCAUUGAGCGCAGGGCAGCACGGACACGGCCUUUUAGGGGCACUCCGCAGUCACCAUCAAUCUGUUUGAGAGUGAAAGCAUGUGACAGGACGAGGUCGAGAAAGGCUGAGCAUUGCGCUGACUGAGCACGCUGAUUAAAGUUGGUGACGAGGCAGAAGUUCAAAAGUCUGCAGCAAAGCCUCCAGACACAUUUUGGCACAGGAACUCAUUCUGCACUGCAACCCGUGCAACAAAAUUUUAACAUUUAACCAAUUUUUAACCAACCAUAUUCAACCAUAUUCAUAGCCACUGUCAUUUGUAAAUGUACUAUCAGUUUUAUAAAUUUUUUAUUUGACUAUUAUCAGAAAAUUCCCCAACAGAUAUGACCUGAAAAGGCAUGUGUGUGUGUGUGUGUGUGUCUGUGUGUCACUCAUUCAGCUCUUACUCUUCUCAACCAAAUAAUCUAACAGACAUGAUGAAAUUUUAGAAAAUAAAAACAUGGACAUAAAAAACAUUAUGUCAUAACAAGGCCACCACAGUUUAAUCACAUUUCCCCUUCAAUAAUUCUGUAUAAAAGUAAGUGUGCUUGACUCAUGUGUUACUGUAAUUUGCAAUAACAUCAUAGAAACUAGCUGCUACACAAAUGUCACCCUCUCAAUCUCUUGUGGUAGUGUGAAGGGAAAAGGGACUGAGAAACAGCACUACAGUAUGUGGAUUCCCACAGGGACAGCACUAUGUCGACUCCCCCAGGUCCUGGGCAAUUGACUUUGUUUGCAUUGACUCCUCAAGUAUGACAACUGUGCGUCAUCUAUAAAUGUUUGUACAUGACAAACAAAAGCACAUGGCCCAGAGUGUUGACAUGGAACAUUUUAGCAUGAUUGCUCGACACACUUUAUGUCUGAUUGAAUGAUUCUUACUUCAGUCAUGGUCAGCUACACCAUUAUUCUUCUGCCUCACAGGUAGCAAAGUUUCAACACCUCAUGUUGUUUGGUUUGAUCUUUAAGAGAGGAUGAAAGAGGCUUCAUAGCAGACCACCAGAGAUGAUCGGAGAACCUUCUACCUUCUAGGAUUAUUCGGUGAUGAGUAACACGUACACGAUUAGUGAGGUUUUUAAGUGUGGUAGCAGCAGUACAAAGAUGCUGGAUCAUUCCUAUGGUGUCAGGGAAAGUGGUUGCUCCCUGCUCCCACCAGAGAUUUGGAAGCACGGAGGAGCAGCACUGCACUCCAAAUUUCACAACCUCUUCCUAUACUGCUGGGAACAGGGAAAGCUACCGCAAGACCUCAGAGAUGCUGUUAUCAUCACCCUGUACAAGAACAAAGGGGAAAAGUCUGACUGCUCAAACUAUCGGGGUAUAACGCGUCUCUCAUCGCGGGCAAAAUUCUCCCCAAAUCGACUGGUACCAGCUGCGGCAGAACUCCAACUCCCAGAGAGCCAGUGCGGCAUCAGAUCGAACAGAGGUACCACUGACUUGUUCUUCGUGCUCAGACAGCUCCAAGAAAAAUGCCAUGAACAAAACAAAGGUCUAUACGUUACCUUUGUAGACCUGACAAAGGCUUUCGACACUGAGCAGAAAAGGCCUGUCGCAGAUCAUGGAGCGUCUUGGCUGUCCCCCAAAGUUCCUCAGCAUGGUUAUGCAGUUGCAUGAAGAUCAGCGUGGUCAGGUCAGACACAGCAAGGACCUCUCAGAACGUUUCCCGAUCAUCAACGGUGUGAAGCAAGGCUACAUCCUCGCACGAACUUUCUUCACUAUCUUCUUCAGCAUGAUGCUUCAACGGGCCACAGAUGACCUCGGUAACGAAGAUGGCAUCUACAUUCGAUACCGCACUGAUGAACUUACGAUGCCUACAGGACCAAACCAAGACCCUAGAGAAACUGAUUCGGGAGUUACUCUUUGCUGAUGAUGUCGCCCUCGUAACCCACACAGAGACUGCCCUGCAACGUGUAACAUCUUGCUUCGCAGAGGCAUCCCAGCUCUUCGGUCUCGAAGUCAGUUUGAAGAAGAGGUUCUCCAUCAGUCAGCCCCACAGGAAGCGUACUGUCCACCACACAUUACAAUUGGUGUGACAAAACUGAAGGCAGUCCAACAGUUCACCCACCUGGGAUGCAUCAUCUCCUCUGAUGCAAGAAUCGACAAAGAGGUGGACAACAGACUGGCAAAGGCAAGCAGUGCUUUCGGCAGACUUAAUAGUCGUGUCUGGAACAACAAACACCUGAAGAAAGCCACAAAGAUCAGCGUGUACAGAGCCGUGGUACUAACCACCCUCAUGGGUCAUGGUCAUGGGUCACUUACAGGCGCCACCUACGACUCCUGGAACGUUUCCACCAACCGUGUCUCCGUUCCAUCUUCAGCAUUCACUGGAGUGACUACAUCACAAACACUGAAGUACUUCAACUAACGGGCAUCACCAGUAUCGAGGCCAUGCUGAUGGAAACGCAGCUACGCUGGGCAGGGCACGUCUCCAGAAUGGAGGAUCACCGCCUACCCAAGAUCGUCCUCUAUGGUGAACUCUCCAAGGGGCACCAUGACAGAGGAGGACCAAAGAAGAGGUACAAAGAGUCUAAGAAAAAAUCCCUGUCUACCUGCCACAUCGACCAUCGACAGUGGUCAGUCCUAGCUGCUGACCGAGGGGCUUGGCGGCGCGCUGUCCGCCAGUCAGUCUCCUCCUUUGAGAGCAACCGUAGGGCUGCCAUCAAAGAGAAGCACAGUAGGAGAAAGAAGGUUCUAGCCAAGAAGGUUAACAUUAUUAAUCCAUUCCAGAAGGGCAGACUCAUACCAAAAUGAACUAUAACCAAAGCAAAUUUUCCCAUAGAAAAUAAUGUAAAUCCAAUUAACCCCUUCCAGAAACCCAAAAAUGCUAUUACAAAAGAAAAUAAUGCAAAAAUAAUUGACCAUUUAACAUCAC
This is a long non-coding RNA of Dunckerocampus dactyliophorus (ringed pipefish), 19357 nucleotides long. RefSeq lists it as uncharacterized. The record is from RefSeq and is a predicted model, not a curated record. The transcript has 6 exons. NCBI's taxonomy places the organism in Eukaryota, Metazoa, Chordata, Actinopteri, Syngnathiformes, Syngnathidae.